UGAAUACGAGACGCUAAGGCGUCGAAGUAGUGUAUGUCAUACUUCCAAGAAAAGCUUGCACUGUCAUAGAUAAAAAACGCCUGUACCAUAACCGACACAGGUGGUAGGUAGAGUAUACUAAGGGGCGCGAGAUAACUCUCUCUAAGGAACUCGGCAAAAUAACUCCGUAACUUCGGGAGAAGGAGUGCCUUAUUCGUAAGGUUGCAAUAACAAGAUCCAAGCAACUGUUUAUCAAAAACACAGGUCUCCGCUAAGUCGUAAGACGAUGUAUGGGGGCUGACGCCUGCCCAGUGCCAGAAGGUUAAAGAAGAUGGUUAGCAAUUGCGAAGCUGAUAACUGAAGCCCUGGUGAACGGCGGCCGUAACGAUAACGGUCCUAAGGUAGCGAAAUUCCUUGUCGGGUAAGUUCCGACCCGCACGAAAGGCGUAAUGAUUUGGAUACUGUCUCGGAGAGGGGCUCGGUGAAAUAGACUUGUCUGUGGAGAUGCGGACUACCUGCACCAGGACAGAAAGACCCUAUGAAGCUUUACUGUAACUUGAAAUUGAAAUUGGACUUUAUUCGCGCAGUAUAGGUGGGAGGCGUUGAUUAUAAUCUUGUGGGAUUAUUGGAGCCAUCAGUGAGAUACCACUCUUGUAAUGUUAGAUUUCUAACUUUGAAUCAUUAUCUGGUCAAAGAACAGUUUCAGGCGGGCAGUUUGACUGGGGCGGUCGCCUCCUAAACGGUAACGGAGGCGUACAAAGGUUUCCUCUGAACGGUUAGAAAUCGUAUCUAGAGUGUAAAGGCAUAAGGAAGCUUGACUGUGAGACCUACAAGUCGAGCAGGGACGAAAGUCGGUCUUAGUGAUCUGACGGUACUGAGUGGAAAGGCCGUCACUCAACGGAUAAAAGUUACUCUAUGGAUAACAGGCUGAUCUCCCCCAAGAGUUCACAUCGACGGGGAGGUUUGGCACCUCGAUGUCGGCUCAUCGCAUCCUGGGGCGGUAGUACGUCCCAAGGGUUGGGCUGUUCGCCCAUGAAAGCGGUACGCGAGCUGGGUUCAGAACGUCGUGAGACAGUUCGGUCCAUAUCCGGUGUAGGCGUUAGGAUAUUGAGAGGAGCCUUCUUUAGUACGAGAGGACCGAGAAGGACAUACCUCUGGUGUACCAGUUAUCGUGCCAACGGUAAACGCUGGGUAGCUAUGUAUGGAGUGGAUAACCGCUGAAAGCAUCUAAGUGGGAAGCCCACCUCAAGAUAAGUAUUCUC
RNAcentral lists this ribosomal RNA (1241 nucleotides) under metagenome. RNAcentral describes it as "bacterial LSU rRNA". It matches the Rfam family "Bacterial large subunit ribosomal RNA", at positions 1564 to 2815 of the family's 2925-position model. The record is from RNAcentral.